RNAcentral lists this long non-coding RNA (2511 nucleotides) under Aquilegia coerulea. RNAcentral describes it as "long non-coding RNA (ACOE_LNC000147)". Lineage: Eukaryota; Viridiplantae; Streptophyta; Magnoliopsida; Ranunculales; Ranunculaceae. The record is from RNAcentral.
CUCGUUUGCAGCUUUUUCCUGAAUUCCUGGUAUAAAACAGAUUAUAGGAAAUAAAUGAAAAAUAGCCUCCCAAAUGGCCAAAAUGCCAAAUACCACCUCAAAUAGUUUCAAAUACAUCAAAUAAUCUAGCUAGAUCGUCACACCAAUUAAAAUAUUACAAUCUCAUAAAAAGCAAACCGUUACGACAUUACAAAGUUCAUAACCAACAUGACUGGAGGAAAAACAACAAAUUACAACACCAAAAUGUUUUGCAUCACUAAACCCUAAAUUAACAUAAACUGAGCAUCACCAAACUGUCAACAUAAGCCGAGCAUCACCAAAAUGAAUUGAAAGGCCACAAACUAAAUGUACUGCAUCACCUAACUGCAAACAAAAUAAAAAGAAAAAAAAAUUUAUUUUUGUAGCAUAAUGACCUUCUCCAUUCUCCAAUCAAUAAAUGUCGAAGAAUAAAACAUAAUCACCUGGAUAACAUAGCAUAUUAUAUAUAUAACUGAAAAAAGAGCAUCAACAUAUGAAAAGGAGCAUCAACUAGCUAGUCUACACAAAUACACAAUCUUCUUCUUAAUAUCAUUUGCGUGCAAUAAGAUGAUAGUAAGCCUUUUAUUUCACAUGGAUCACAUGAAAAAAAUGAACUUAAGUUGAAGAUCUUACCAAUUACCAAUAAGCCAACACAAUAAUCCAACAUUCCAACAAGCCAACAACAUAACCUGAAAUCAAAUUCAAACACACACGUUAAGACUGAUAUUUAGAAAAGUAAUACAAAAUUCAUAAAGUUAAACAAGAUAACACAAAAUUAUAACUAUUCAAGAUGUUACUAUAUACUUACAUCGUCAAACUUAUUUUAAACUUGAAACACAAAAAUAUAAAUAGAUAAUUCAGCCAUUAUAAACAAACAAACAAAUUAAAAAAACAACAACUAUUGAUUUGUAUAACGACAUAAACAUAAAAAAGAAUCAAUUCAAAGUUAUCAUAUUUCUCAAUAGGUAACCACUAAAGAACCAAAUUUUGAUAGACUAGAAACAGAUUUUUUGAGGUGAAUAAAAAUACAAUCCUAAGAUAACUAAACAUAUAUACAUGAGAGGCAUUGGACUGUGAUGCAUUCUUAUUUUUUGUUUACAUGUAUUGAUGUUACCUCAAGCAAGAAAAAAUAGAUAUGAAUGAUACUAGGUAACAAAUAGAUAUGAAUACCAUAAACACAAGAGUUAAGACCACCGAUUAUUAUUAAACAUACCAAGUAUUAUUACACAGUAAUGUAGUUUUCUCAAAGAUUUGUCCAAUAUGAGCAAUUCAGUUUAAAGCGAUCAAAAAAAAAGAAAUCUACAAUUAAAAUUAGAAACAAAAAGACAUGAAUGAUGAUUGAUGAAUGUAGUAAUUAAAGUGAUGAACAUCUGUUACAGAUUCAUACAAUUCAAAAUCUUCACUCUAGCUUCCUCUAUCUAUCAAAAAAAAAUUAUUAGUACAUUCGAUCCGUCAUCCAGUUAUUCCAAAGUUCCAUCUUCCAGGUUAGGUAUAUAUGCUCAGUCUGUCUGUUUGAAGAUUUUCUUUUUAAAGAAUUAGGAACAUAUUACACUUAUUAACUCAAAAAAAUUGAUCGAACUGUCUCACACCUGAAUAUGUGCUACGACACUUCUUGAUUAAUGAUUUUCAUUCGAAAUGGUUAUUUUAAGCAUCGUGUCAUGGUUUAAGUUCAUUUUCAUCACUUUGUGACGUGACGACGAAACUAAAAUUUUUAUCCUCUUCUUCGCCUCAGGCAGAAAGUGCCUAUACAUCUUCACUGAUAUACUGUAAAAUCGAAAUCUUGUAUAUAUCUUCUGAAAUUUCAAUUCCCAUGUAUAUCUGAGAUUCAAUGUGUUGGAUUGAAGACUAUAUGUACUUAUACUUUGAUUAUUACAUUUCAAAACAAAAUUAAAGUGAUGAACAUCUGUUACAGAUUCAUACAAUUCAAAUAUAAUUUUCUUUUUUUUUUGUUAAAACACGCUUUUUAAUCAGUCAAAUUUAAACUAAAAAGAAGAAAUGAAAAAACUUACCAAAUCACAAGCAAAGAAAACAACAGAAGAAGAAGUUGUGUUUAAUCUGAUCUAAACUGCUGAAGAAGAAGAACACGCUUUUUAAUCUGAUCUAAACUGCUGAAGAAGAAGAAGAACAUCAACAACACCUUCUCUAAUUCCAACUUUCUUAACAACAACACCUUCUCUAAUUUGAUUCGUUAUGCUUGUGUUUCAAAAGAAACUAUUGUUCUUGCAGAAAUUAGUUUUGGGGAAGAAGAUCUAAGCAAAUUAGCUUUACAAUGUCUUGAAAAUACUCCUCAAUUUCAUAGAUCGUUUUCACAUACAAUUGGAAGUAAGAUUUAUGUGUUUUUUUCUUAACAACGAACUGCCGAACUGAAGUCUGGAGACGAAGAUUGAGUUAGAGAAGAAGAUGAGACGGCAGAGACGGCUAGGUUUCAGGUUUGCAGAAUUGCAGCAGAAAAUUAUGUUAUGUUAUAUAUAGUGGGGGUAGGAUAGGAAUAAC